AACGAACGCUGGCGGCAGGCCUAACACAUGCAAGUCGAACGUGAAGCCACCUUCGGGUGGUGGAAAGUGGCAGACGGGUGAGUAACACGUGGGAACGUACCCUUCGGUUCGGAAUAACCCAGGGAAACUUGGGCUAAUACCGGAUACGUCCGAAAGGAGAAAGAUUUAUCGCCGAAGGAUCGGCCCGCGUCGGAUUAGCUAGUUGGUGAGGUAACGGCUCACCAAGGCGACGAUCCGUAGCUGGUCUGAGAGGAUGAUCAGCCACACUGGGACUGUGACACGGCCCAGACUCCUACGGGAGGCAGCAGUGGGGAAUAUUGGACAAUGGGCGCAAGCCCGAUCCAGCCAUGCCGCGUGAGUGAUGAAGGCCCUAGGGUUGUAAAGCUCUUUCGCCAGGGACGAUAAUGACGGUACCUGGAUAAGAAGCCCCGGCUAACUUCGUGCCAGCAGCCGCGGUAAUACGAAGGGGGCAAGCGUUGUUCGGAAUCACUGGGCUUAAAGCGUACGUAGGCGGAUUUGC
Molecule: ribosomal RNA, 520 nt
Filed under: uncultured bacterium
Lineage: Bacteria
Description: bacterial SSU rRNA
Rfam family: Bacterial small subunit ribosomal RNA
Source: RNAcentral